This 655-nucleotide ribosomal RNA is filed under the name uncultured fungus. RNAcentral's name for it is "eukaryotic LSU rRNA". It matches the Rfam family "Eukaryotic large subunit ribosomal RNA", at positions 24 to 664 of the family's 3401-position model. Lineage: Eukaryota; Fungi. The record is from RNAcentral.
CCCGCUGAACUUAAGCAUAUCAAUAAGCGGAGGAAAAGAAACUAACAAGGAUUCCCCUAGUAACUGCGAGUGAAGCGGGAAGAGCUCAAAUUUGAAAUCUGGCGGCUUCGCCGUCCGAGUUGUAUUCUGGAGAAGCGUUUUCCGUGCUGGACCGUGUACAAGUCCCUUGGAACAGGGCGUCGUAGAGGGUGAGAAUCCCGUCUUUGACACGGACUGCCAGUGCUCUGUGAUGCGCUCUCGAAGAGUCGAGUUGUUUGGGAAUGCAGCUCAAAAUGGGUGGUAAAUUCCAUCUAAAGCUAAAUAUUGGCGAGAGACCGAUAGCGAACAAGUACCGUGAGGGAAAGAUGAAAAGCACUUUGGAAAGAGAGUGAAACAGUACGUGAAAUUGUUGAAAGGGAAACGCUUGAAGUCAGUCGCGUCUUCUGGAACUCAGCCGUGCUUCUGCUAGGCGCAUUUUCCAGUUUGACGGGUCAGCAUCGGUUUCGGUGGGCAGACAAAGGCGCAGGGAAGGUGGCCGCUCCGGUGGUGUUAUAGCUUUGGGUCGCAUACAUUGGCUGGGACUGAGGAACUCAGCACGCCGAAAGGCCAGGUUUCGACCAUGUACGUGCUUAGGAUGCUGGCAUAAUGGCUUUAAUCGACCCGUCUUGAAACACGG